GGAGUUAGCCGGUGCUUCUUCUGUGAGUGAUGUCCUUCCUGCCGGCUAUUAACCCGCAGGCCUUCUUCCUCACUGAAAGUGCUUUACAACCCGAAGGCCUUCUUCACACACGCGGCAUGGCUGGAUCAGGGUUGCCCCCAUUGUCCAAUAUUCCCCACUGCUGCCUCCCGUAGGAGUCUGGGCCGUGUCUCAGUCCCAGUGUGGCUGAUCAUCCUCUCAGACCAGCUACGGAUCGUCGCCUUGGUGAGCCGUUACCUCACCAACCAGCUAAUCCGACAUAGGCUCAUCCGAUAGCGCGAGGCCCGAAGGUCCCCCGCUUUCCCCCGUAGGGCGUAUGCGGUAUUAGCCUGGGUUUCCCCCAGGUUAUACCCCACUACCGGGCAGAUUCCUAUGCAUUACUCACCCGUCCGCCGCUCGCCACCAGGGAGCAAGCUCCCCGUGCUGCCGCUCGACUUGCAUGUGUUAGGCCUGCCGCCAGCGUUCAAUCUGAGCCAGAAUCAAACUCUGA
Molecule: ribosomal RNA, 508 nt
Filed under: uncultured bacterium
Lineage: Bacteria
Description: partial 16S ribosomal RNA
Source: RNAcentral